AACGAACGCUGGCGGCAGGCCUAACACAUGCAAGUCGAACGCUCCGCAAGGGAGUGGCGCACGGGUGAGUAACACGUGGGAACCUACCUUCUGGUACGGAACAACCAAGGGAAACUUUGGCUAAGACCGUAUACGACCUCCGGGUGAAAGAUUGAUCGCCGGAAGAGGGGCCCGCGUCCGAUUAGGUAGUUGGUGAGGUAACGGCUCACCAAGCCUUCGAUCGGUAGCUGGUCUGAGAGGAUGACCAGCCACACUGGGACUGAGACACGGCCCAGACUCCUACGGGAGGCAGCAGUGGGGAAUAUUGGACAAUGGGCGCAAGCCUGAUCCAGCCAUGCCGCGUGAGUGAUGAAGGCC
This 357-nucleotide ribosomal RNA is filed under the name uncultured bacterium. Its description in RNAcentral is "bacterial SSU rRNA". It matches the Rfam family "Bacterial small subunit ribosomal RNA", at positions 29 to 416 of the family's 1533-position model. The record is from RNAcentral.